This 322-nucleotide long non-coding RNA is filed under the name Prunus persica (peach). RNAcentral describes it as "long non-coding RNA (PPER_LNC006748)". The record is from RNAcentral. Lineage: Eukaryota; Viridiplantae; Streptophyta; Magnoliopsida; Rosales; Rosaceae.
CCAAAACGACGUCGUUUUGGCCAGGUUAAAAAAAUAAAAAAGUAAAAAAAAACAGCGCCUUUUUGAAAGCCUGGUCCAAAAUGACGUCGUUUUGGCCAGGCUGUGUUGAAAAAAAAACAAGCGCACGCGCCCAAUUUGGUUUGGGCAUUUUGUCGAGCAUGUUGCGUGCAUCUCUGGUAUGAAGCAGAGGUGCAACUCUAGCUGCUCUAAUGGACUUUUUCGACGACCGGAGGUGCAGAUGCACCUCCUUGCGCCUGCACAGGUCCGCCACUGGGCGUGAGUAAGCUUUAAAUUCUGCGUUUUGGGGAGAAAAGAUAACAUG